Peromyscus californicus insignis is the source of this 2711-nucleotide long non-coding RNA. RefSeq lists it as uncharacterized. The record is from RefSeq and is a predicted model, not a curated record. The transcript is spliced from 5 exons. NCBI's taxonomy places the organism in Eukaryota, Metazoa, Chordata, Mammalia, Rodentia, Cricetidae.
GAUGAUUCAGACGUCCAAGGAAUGCAGCAGUUGGUAAAAUGAAGGCAAUGGAGAUCCAGAAGUUGAUUCUGCCUCAUUUCCUGCCUAGGAGAGAGGACUGGUCAGCAUGACAAAGCCUGGCGGCAAACUUUCUCCUUCCUACUCAGAAUUGAAAGAAAAGGUUGUAGAUUCCUUCAAGAUUAAUAGCAAUCAGGUUUGAUUGGGGAAGACCUCCUGAAGAUCUUGGAUACAGAUAUAAAGAAGUAAACCAAGAAAAACUACAAGACAGAAGAGUGUAACAUGGCCUGGAAGAGAAUCAAACAACAAUGUCAGCUGGGGAAACAGCACUGGAAAGCCAUCCCUGAGAGUCAUACCUUCAGCCCACAAUUUUCUGUCCCAUGCUGGGAUGUCUCCUUGAUGAAACCAGCCAGAAGCAGAGGUCAAAAGAGCCAUGGGUGAUCCAUACAUGCAGAGAAGUGUUGCCGAGUGGACAUGAAGCAAUAAUGGAAAGUAUCCCUGUUCUUCUGUGCCAGGCUUUGUCCUGAGCAUAGGUCCAGAAGUUAGACAUGGUCUGUCUUCAAAGAGCUGUCAGUGAUGUAUACCACAUAUGUCCAGUCAGAAGAGAAUGUUGGAUCCCAUGGGAAUAGAUUAAAAGAUGGUUAUAGGCUGCUAUGUGGAUGCUGAGAACCAAACAUGGGUCCUCUGUAAUAGAAGCAGGUGUUCUUAACUGUUGAGCCCUCUCUCCACCCACUCCUACCCUCAAUCAGAAGCUUUCCGUGUACUCAGGUUACUUGGGUGGUCCUCUUGCACUCCUGUGACUGGCUGCACUAGUACAACAAAAUGCCUGGCACACGCAACUUAAGAGAGGAAAGAGUUGUUUUGGCUUACAGUUUGAAAGGGCACAGUUCACCAUGAUGGAGAAGACACAAUUGUUCUAGGUAGUAAGAGCUUGAAGCUAGGACCUCUCAUAUCUUGGGGGACCAGGAAGCAGAAAGACCUUGGAUUGAAAGUGUCGCCUUGCUGUAGCCUCUCAGGACUGCAUCCCCCAGCAGUGACCCAUUUCCUCCAGCUACACCCAUCCUCCUAAAGGUUAUAUGCUCUCCCCAAACAGUGCCACCAGUUGGGGGGACAAAAUAUUCAAACACACAGGCCUACGAGAAACAUUUCAUGUUCAAACUGACACUGGCCAUGGGAAAGGCAUACUCCGGAGGACUUCUCCAUUUCCUUUCAAACUGAGAAACACGUGGAAAAGCCUGAACUCAGCCCGUAGCCUGGAACACAAGCAGCCCAUGCACCUGCGAGGAAUAAACGCUUGUUGAGGCAAGCCAUGGAGAUUUGGAAGUUGUUUAUUAUCUAGCACCGUCACAGCAAGAGCUCAGAUAAGGUAAAUGAGAAACACCAUUAUUAUUCCAGUUUCCCAGAUGGCAAACUGGAAGCAGAGAAAGGAUAAAUGAAUUGCUUGGGUCUUAGACAAAAUCUGCAUCAGUCCCCGGGGACUCACUUUUAACCACUGUCUACAGAAAAGCACACAGACUAAUUUGUCUGUCACGGCCAAAAUGUGCUUCCAGCAUCCCUGCUCAGCCUCUGGCCCAGACUUCAAUGCUAAGCUAAACUCCUGCAGGAGCCAAGGACGCUGAAAUACACAGCCAAUGAAAGCCUGUUUUCUAGGCUCCAAAGCAGCAACCUGGGAGCCUCAGCUGGAUCAUCUCAUCUGACAUGGAGCACAGGGGGGCCAGCCAGGUGCCCAGGGAAGCCAUGUUCAGCCUGAGUACACAGAAACCAGGUGGCAUUUGCUCCAUUCUUUGUUUUCAAAUUCAGAGGCUGGCAUCUUGAAAGGCAUUAUUUGUGAACUUAUACACAUUUUUGAACACUUAAGAGUUGGGGUAAAAAUACAAAUGUUCAUCACGUGCUUGUCUGUAUGUUCAUAUGUAUGUGAGUAUGUGUGUGUGUGUGUGUGUGUGUGUGUGUGUGUGUGUGUGUGUGUGUGUGUGUGUGAUGUAUGUGUAUGUGUGUUCAUGUGCAUAUACAUGUAUGUGUGCAUAUGGAAGCCAGAGGACAUCCUCAGGUGUUCCUCAAGGACCUUCAUUGUUUUUGAUCCCGGACCUCUCACUGGCCUGGAACUCACCAAAUAUGCCAGCAAAUCCAGGGAUCCAUCUCUUUCCACAUCUCCAGCAGUGGGAAUACAAGUAUGCAUUGCCAUGCCAGGCUUUGUAUAUGUGGGUUCUGGAGGUCAAUUCCAGGCCUUUGUGCUUUCAAUGCAGGCAGUUUACUGACAGAGCUAACACCCAGCCCUUUGUGUCAACUUUUACAAAUAGUGACAACCAACUUGAGGACUUCUGCCAGUUCCCAUUGUCAUUAGAAAGCUUCUCCCACUCCAGAUGAAAUAGGACAGCACUCCUUUGCUGAUUAGGAUCUGGUUAUAAUGUUCCUCAUCUCGUGCAAAUGUUCUGUCCUUGGACAUCUUCCCUGAUUGCUUUCAAGACCAUUGCAACUACACAGAGCUCCCUUCACAUUUUCUUCAUUGUGCUUAUUACAGAUUGGGACUUCAUGUUUAUUUGCAUAAAUAUUUGAUGAACAUUUAGUUGUCUUUAUGGAGACAACACGCUGGUGUCAUUUGUAUGCCAUCUGCUGCCCUGCACCCAGUGUGAAGACUAGCUCAGAGUGAAGUGGCCCAUGAUACUGUUGAGUAAGUAGAUGUGAGAAAUGGAUAAAAUGUGUCUAUCAUUUGCACA